UGUGUGUGUGUGGGGGGGGGCAGGAAAUGGAAGUGAUGGUGAUGGUGGUUGGUCCAUGCAUGGAAGACAUAUAGAAAGAAAAACAAAGAGAGAAGAAAAAGUGCACAAACAUUAGGAUGGACUGGUGUGGACACACUGUGCUUGCCUGUGCUGUGACUGAAGAGUUUAUUAUGGGGUGUGUUAAAGAGCUGUGUCACACUGUUGUGCUCACCUUUACCUGUACAUAACAAUUCAAAUUUUUAGACAAAGGAAUUUAAUUGUUUGAAAAAAUGUGCUUGUUUAAUCUGUGUUAAUUAUGUAUGUGCUGUAGGUAUCGGUGAUUAACUGUGCUGUAGGUAUCUGAGAUUAACUGUGCUGUAGGUAUCUGAGAUUAACUGUGCUGUAGGUAUCGGUGAUUAACUGUGCUGUAGGUAUCUGAGAUUAACUGUGCUGAUUGGUUAAUUGCAGCAUGAUGGAAGUCAGAUGGUUGGGUCUGGGCGGAGUUAAUCAUAUCCUACACAAAACUAGAACAUCUCCAUUCUAAUUUCAUCAACACUUCUCUCUCUCUCUCUCUCUCACACACACACACACACACACACACGUAGUAGCAGUCUCUGUUAUUCACAAUUCCAUAGUGGACAAACUUGACAAGACACUUACAGACCAUCACUAAUUAAAUUAAUGACUUUUCUUUGUUCUGAUUUGAUGUGUAAUAUUUUAAUUCCGAGUGGUGGAGUGGUGGAGGAGGAGUGGUGGGGGAGUGGUGGUUGGGGGA
Long non-coding RNA from Ictalurus punctatus (channel catfish), 754 nucleotides. The record is from Ensembl. NCBI's taxonomy places the organism in Eukaryota, Metazoa, Chordata, Actinopteri, Siluriformes, Ictaluridae.